GGCUACAGCCAGAGCACCCUGAACAUUCCUGAUCUCAUUUCAUCUCAUCUCAGAAGCUAAGCAGGGUCAGGCCUGGUUAGUACUUGGAUGGGAGAAUGGUCAUGGGUUGACU
RNAcentral lists this ribosomal RNA (112 nucleotides) under Erinaceus europaeus (western European hedgehog). The record is from RNAcentral. Lineage: Eukaryota; Metazoa; Chordata; Mammalia; Eulipotyphla; Erinaceidae.